Non-coding RNA from Pteronotus mesoamericanus, 1341 nucleotides. The record is from the annotation of a RefSeq genome assembly. Lineage: Eukaryota; Metazoa; Chordata; Mammalia; Chiroptera; Mormoopidae.
AUGUCUGGCACCAGCCAGCAGGGACCUGACCCCAAGGACCGAAGCAGGGACCUGGGCCCCAACCAGGCGCCCAGCGAACCCCUGGAGCAACUCCCUAUCCGCACCCCACCCUCAGCCACCCUGUCUCCAGCAUUGGAAUCCGGUGCUCUGGCCCCUGUCCCCAGAGCGCAGGAGGCGGUGCUGACCUCCACCACGGCCCCAAAGGUCUUCCCGCUGUCCCCCCGCUGUGGGGCCACGUCCGGCUCCACGUUGUCCCUGGCCUGCCUGGUCUCCGGCUACUUCCCCGAGCCAGUGACUGUGUCCUGGAACUCGGGCGCCCUGACCAGCAGCGUGCACACCUUCCCGUCCAUCCUGUGGUCCUCGGGGCUCUAUUCUCUGAGCAGCAUGGUGACCGUGCCCUCCAGCAGCACGUCCAGCCAGACGUACACCUGCAGCGUAGCCCACCCAGCCAGCAGCACCAAAGUGAACAAGGACACUGUUGAUCCCCCAGGAGCACCUUCCGUCUUCAUCUUUCCCCCAAAACCCAAGGACAUCCUCAUGAUCUCCCAGGCACCCGAGGUCACAUGUGUGGUAGUGGAUGUAGCCUCGGAUGACCUUGACAUAGAGUUCACCUGGUACGUGGACAGCACAGAGGCGAACACGGUUAAGAAGAAGGUGCAGGAGCAGCAGUUCAACAGCACCUACUGCGUGGCCAAUGCCUUCCCCAUCACGCACCAGGACUGGCUGAAGGGCAAGGAGUUCAAGUGCAAGGUCAAGAUCGGGUCUCUCCCAACCCCCAUUGAGAGGACCAUCUCCAAGGCCAAAGGACAAGCCCUGGCACCACAGGUGUACACCCCGCCCCCACACCUGGACAAGCUGGCCAAGAACACCAUCAGUGUGACCUACCUGGUCAAAGACUUUUACCCGCCGGACACCAACGUGGAGUGGAAGCACAAUGAGCAGCCAGAGCCAGAGGCCAAGUACAUCACGACCCCGCGGCUGAAGGACAAGGACGGGUCCUACUUCGUGUACAGCAAGCUCUCCAUGGACAAAGUCAGGUGGCAGCAGGGACAGGCCUUCACAUGUGCAGUGAUGCACGAGGCUCUGCACAGUCACUACACCCAGAAGACCAUCUCCCAGACUCCAGAGGUGCUCCUGGACGAGGGCUGUGUGGAGGCCCAGGACGGGGAGCUGGACGGGCUGUGGACCACCACCUCCAUCUUCACCACCCUCUUCCUGCUCAGCAUGUGCCACAGCGCCACGGUCACCCUCUUCAAGGUGAAGUGGGUCUUCUCCUCGGUGGUGCAGCUGAAGCGGACCAUGGUCCCUGACUACAGGAACAGGAUCGGACAGGGGGCUUAG